CUGUUAGGUACAGUCGAUAGAGCAGAACCUUCCAACGCACCCAGGCCCACCUGGGUCCCCUUGCCCGCCGAAAACUGGUCACAAAAAUUUACCUAGGAGCAUCCGUCGAAAUCGUCAAAAGCUGAUUUUUCGACUAAAUGUGUUACAGAGAGAAAUCGCCAUUACUUGCGGAAAGCUAUUAUAGGGGCUGGGGCACUCUUUGGUUAGUGUUCCCCGAAAAAUUCUUUGUAAGAAACCCGAUUUAGAAGAAAAGGCGAAGCGGAACAGGACGAAAUGGGACGGGAUAAGAACGGACGGGUCGGGAUAUGUACCUCCUUUGAAGGUUCGGUUGUGGCCCUAAACCGAGACCUUCCUGGAAAAUCGGCUAAUGCAACCAACCGUCUGUUUCGCACGUACGAAUUAUACCUGCUUGAUGUUCUCGACAACUGUUCUGAGCACCAGAGAAGACACUCGGAAGCCAUAUUGAUUCCAACCUUUCUGUGCGCGUGUGUGUGCGAAAAUGAUUCGAAUUUUCCCGCCAUUUAGAUGCCUUCAGACCAUGGCGUGUCAGUAUAAAAACCGUCAGAGGUUCUCCUUACAACUGUCUCCCCUGGUUAUAUCCUGAGCCAUUAGAUGCUGCCGGAUCGGCCAAUUUCAAACGGUAAUAAUUCGAAAGCAAUAGAUUUCCUAUUAGAAGUAAAAACCGUUUCGGUCGUAGAGUUUUAGGAGAAUAUGAGGCGAUAAUUCCAGGUCACUCUGUAUGCAGAGAGCUAGAAGGGAGGGAGAGAGAGAGAAAAAAUGAAGAACAGAGCAGGAUCCUGGAUGGUGGUAUUAGUAUAUACCUCUAUAUAUAUUGGACAGCUGUAUCUAUAUGUCACAUACAAAGGUCCAUAGAAGCGGCUAGAUCACCGUGUGUGCAACAUGCGAAGAUUCCUAGGAAAUUUAGAAUGUUUCACGUGUCAUUUCUUCGCGUAUUGACAAUUUGGUACAUAUUACAAGUUCUAGUCCGUUCGUACAUCCGCCUUAUCAUAUGCAGCAGGAUAAAAUAUCACUAGAAUUCAGUAUUACUGUUUAUCGUAGAACAAAAAUAUGAAUUGUUAUUAUAAACAAUUAUAUUUGAAGUAAUGUAUUCACGGG
RNAcentral lists this long non-coding RNA (1116 nucleotides) under Neodiprion lecontei (redheaded pine sawfly). Its description in RNAcentral is "uncharacterized LOC124294591". The record is from RNAcentral. Lineage: Eukaryota; Metazoa; Arthropoda; Insecta; Hymenoptera; Diprionidae.